Molecule: ribosomal RNA, 377 nt
Filed under: uncultured bacterium
Lineage: Bacteria
Description: bacterial SSU rRNA
Rfam family: Bacterial small subunit ribosomal RNA
Source: RNAcentral
UAAUACUAGGGGUGCGAGCGUUGUCCGGAAUCAUUGGGCGUAAAGGGUCCGUAGGCGUCUCAAUAAGUCACUUGUUAAAGACACCGGCUUAACCGGUGGCCUGCAUGUGAAACUGUUGAGAUAGAGUAUAGGAGAGGAAAGUGGAAUUCCUGGUGUAGCGGUGACAUGCGUAGAUAUCAGGAGGAACACCAAUGGCGAAGGCAACUUUCUGGCCUAUUACUGACGCUGAGGGACGAAAGCGUGGGGAGCAAACAGGAUUAGAUACCCUGGUAGUCCACGCCGUAAACGAUGAGUACUUGGUGUCGGGGGAUUCGACCCCUUCGGUACCGGAGCUAACGCAUUAAGUACUCCGCCUGGGAACUACGACCGCAAGGUUG